GAUGAAGAACGCAGCGAAAUGCGAUAAGUAAUGUGAAUUGCAGAAUUCAGUGCAUCAUCGAAUCUUUGAACGCACAUUGCGCCCCCUGGUAUUCCGGGGGGCAUGCCUGUUCGAGCGUCAUUUCACCACUCAAGCCUCGCUUGGUAUUGGGCAACGCGGUCCGCCGCGUGCCUCAAAUCGACCGGCUGGGUCUUCUGUCCCCUAAGCGUUGUGGAAACUUUCGCUAAAGGGUGUUCGGGAGGCUACGCCGUAAAACAACCCCAUUUCUAAGGUUGACCUCGGAUCAGGUAGGGAUACCCGCUGAACUUAAGCAUAUCAAUAAGCGGAGGA
This 330-nucleotide unclassified non-coding RNA is filed under the name soil metagenome. RNAcentral describes it as "partial contains 5.8S ribosomal RNA, internal transcribed spacer 2, and large subunit ribosomal RNA". The stretch from base 1 to 120 matches the Rfam family "5.8S ribosomal RNA", at positions 35 to 154 of the family's 154-position model. The record is from RNAcentral.